This 326-nucleotide ribosomal RNA is filed under the name uncultured bacterium. Its description in RNAcentral is "bacterial SSU rRNA". It matches the Rfam family "Bacterial small subunit ribosomal RNA", at positions 28 to 352 of the family's 1533-position model. The record is from RNAcentral.
GAUGAACGCUAGCGGCAGGCCUAAUACAUGCAAGUCGAACGGAUAUAUGUUUUUCGGAAUAUAUAUUAGUGGCGCACGGGUGAGUAACACGUACAUAACUUGUCCUCAAGCGGGGGAUAGCCUUGGGAAACUGAGAGUAAUACCCCAUAGAAUUAUUGGACGGCAUCGUUUGAUAAUUAAAACUACGGUGCUUGGGGAUAGAUGUGCGUCUGAUUAGCUAGUUGGUGAGGUAACUGCUCACCAAGGCGACGAUCAGUAGGGGGCGUGAGAGCGUGGCCCCCCCACACGGGUACUGAGACACGGACCCGACUCCUACGGGAGGCAGC